This 443-nucleotide ribosomal RNA is filed under the name Desmognathus welteri (black mountain salamander). RNAcentral describes it as "partial 12S ribosomal RNA". It matches the Rfam family "Bacterial small subunit ribosomal RNA", at positions 845 to 1486 of the family's 1533-position model. The record is from RNAcentral. Lineage: Eukaryota; Metazoa; Chordata; Amphibia; Caudata; Plethodontidae.
GCUCAACUUUAAAAUGGAUAUUCCCGCCAGAGCACUACGAGCCACAGCUUAAAACUCAAAGGACUUGGCGGUGCUCUACACCCACCUAGAGGAGCCUGUUCUAUAAUCGACACCCCCCGAUAAACCUCACCACCCCUUGCCACUACAGCCUAUAUACCACCGCCCUCAGUUCACCUUUCAAAAGAAUAAUAAUGAACAAAAUAAUUAAAAAUAAAAAAGUCAGGUCAAGGUGUAGCAAAUGAGGUGGAAAGAAAUGGGCUACAUUUUUUAUAAUUAAAAAAUACGAAGUAUUAUAUGAAAUAAAAUAUAAAGGAGGAUUUAGAAGUAAAAAGAAAAAAGAGUGUUCUUUUUAAAUUGGCAAUAGAGCACGCACACACCGCCCGUCACCCUUUUUAAAAAUAAAAUAUUUAAAUAAAUAUAUAAACCUAUAAAAAAAGGUAAGU